RNA transcript from Hylaeus volcanicus, 6183 nucleotides. It is a transcript of the gene named tubulin glycylase 3A-like, with no coding region annotated. Lineage: Eukaryota; Metazoa; Arthropoda; Insecta; Hymenoptera; Colletidae. The transcript is spliced from 16 exons. The record is from RefSeq and is a predicted model, not a curated record.
CUGUGAACAAUAAGUGAGCAGCGUCCCUUAUUAACUGAGUCAUAAUUGCCACGACAUACGAUUAACCACACUAGCUUGUGGAAUGUACAGUGAUGUAUGUACAGACUGAUUUUCGUCUAUGCUAUGCUUCGACUUUUAGUAACAAGUUAACAAGCACCCUUAUAAAUUCAACCAUCCAUCGCUCCGCAUCGAGCAGCCUCCGAAUGAAGUCUGACAACAGUAUUCUAUGAUUUCCAACAACACAUAUCAAACUAUAACUAAUGCUGAUCCAGGAUAAAGUAACGCUGACCUCUUCGGGCCCGUCAUUCUGGCAACAAAGUCCACUGCAAUGAAGCGAAACUAAAAUUCGACCUAGUGCAUCCAGCGCAGAGGGACUCGAAAACUUGUAAGAGCACUACAUGAAUGCGAAUGAUGAGGCGCCGUCGAAUUUGGAGCCGACCAGCUCGGAAAAAGCGGACAAGAAUGAAGGGGAAACCGUCCAGGCUGAAGCCACCGGGCCUCAGGAGAAAUCAGCCGAUGAAACUGUCACGAAGGAUACAAAAGUAGUCGAAGAGAGACCCGAAUCGCCUUUGGUAUUGCCUCCGACGCUUCACGAACGAUUCAUGCGGAUCAAACAAAUGGUCAAGGAUGCCAUAGCUGCUCACCACACGUUCAUGAUUUACGGAAGGGCCCGAGUGAUCCGUGAAUGUAUGCUGCGGCGAGGCUGGUGCGAGAAGUUUUUCCGAAAAAAUGCUACUGCCGAUCAUUUCAACGUGGAUUCGAGUCCCGUGGCGUUGCUGGCAGGCAUCGGCGACUUGAAGGACCAACAAAGCGAACGACAGUUGAUAUCCAGGAUGCUCAGUAAUCACACUGUCGAUUUCCUCUGGAACACCGGAUCGGAAUGGCCUGGCUGGCCGUCGCAGGAUAACAAGAACACGAUUUUCAACAGAUACUGCCGUGCGGGAUUCACGUCGAAGGUGGGCUUAUGCUCGAACGUCAGACAAAUGCACUGGUAUUACGAGGCUGGAGUGGCGAACACCCUCUUCCCGCGCUGUUACAAUUUAUGCCAGGGCGAUCAGAUGCAUGCUUUCAUCGAGGAUUUUCGAUUCACGUCUUGCCUGAGUCUGUUGAAGUGGCUGAUAAGUAAGAUAUCCGCCGAGGGCGAGAACGCGGUCAGAUCGCCAACGGGAACGGUGCCUAUGAAGGCCCUCGAGUUCGCGAUCAAACGAUGCAGCGAUUAUAUCAGCGCGCAAUCCCACGAGGACAUCGAUCAGGAGACGGAAAGAGUUUGGGCGCAUCAAUGGGACCAGUUUAUCAGCUGGUAUUACCAGAUCGUUCACGGACAAGCGCUUUUCGUUCGCAACAGUGUGCCCUUUCAAAAAUUCUUCCUGGCGGGGAAGCACAUUCUGAAAAAGAUGAGGAAGUACUGUCCACAACUCGACAUGGAUGGCAUCAUGAAUGUAUGGAUCAUGAAGCCUGGGAACAAAAGUCGAGGACGAGGGAUCGUCCUCUUGAACAAACUGGAGGAUGUCAUGGCGAAGAUGAAUCCGUCGAACAAGUCAGACACCCGUUACGUCGUGCAGAAGUACAUUGAACGACCAUUGCUAAUUCACAGUACGAAGUUCGACAUAAGGCAGUGGUUCGUUGUCACCUGUGCCCAGCCUCUGACUCUUUGGAUAUACAAAGAGAGUUAUCUGCGAUUCUGCUCGCAAAAAUUUUGCCUGACGGACUUCCACGAAUCGAUCCACCUGUGCAAUCACGCGAUCCAAUGCAAGUACACGAACUGCGGCGACAGGGAUCCUGCGUUGCCCUCGGACAACAUGUGGGACGCCACGACCUUCAAAGAGUUCCUCAAGUCCCAGGGACACGAUAAGGCGUGGGACGAGCUCAUCUACCCAGGAAUGAAGCAAGGCUUGGUUGGUUCUCUAUUGGCCAGCCAGGAAGCCAUGGAUCGUCGAAAGAACAGUUUCGAACUUUACGGCGCCGACUUCAUGGUUAUGGACGAUUUCUCCGUUUGGCUGAUCGAGAUCAAUAGCCACCCUGACAUGAGCUACUCCAGCAGAGUUACGACGCGUCUGUGUCGACAGGUUCUAGAGGACACCAUAAAAGUGGUGAUAGAUUUUCGAGAGAACAAAAACGCAAACACGGGACAGUUCGAGUUGGCUUACAAGCAGAAAAUGCCCAACUGCCAGCCAUAUUUGGGUGCAGCUUUGUCCCUCCAAGGCACCCGCAUUACGACGUUAGAGAAGAAACCUGGUCUCGGGACUCAAGACUCGAAAGUUAGCCUCGUAUCGAAGUCCCCUAUGACAUGCUUUCCGAAAAAGAAAGCGGCGGUGCACAAUCAAAUCGGUCCAGUGAUCGUCGAUCUGAUCGAGGAACUGGAGAUCCAGCUCGACCAGGAAUUCUACGCCUACUAUAAAGUAGAAUCGCCUAAGCUGAGGCAAACACUGCCAAUAACUGCGCCCCCCAAACCCUUAAAAGCGGUCGUUUUAGUCGAUAAACAGGAAUCGACCGCGAAGAGCGCUCCCGCUGGAGGAUUGAACACUGUUAAAACGAAGUCACCUGGUUUGAUUCAAAAUAAUCGAAUAAACGACAAGAACGGAAGUAAUCAGAAAACGGCAACGCGAACGCCAAGAAAGUCGCGGACUCUCACUGGAUCGACAAGCCACAAAUCGGAAACUUCUCCUGCGAGGCAAAAUUUUAUCUCGAAGAUUAUAACUAUUCAGAAGCAAACGUUUAAACAGCCAUCAAAAAGUGAAAAGUCUCAACCGAAGCAAAACCAAAAUAGGAUGAUUAAGACUGCGGUACGAGACGCUAUUAAAAAGUACAAAAAAGGCGCAGCUCUGUCCGCCAUUCCACCGGAAAUACCUCCGCUACCGUCUUUAUCAACGGCACCGAAUAAAGGUAGCGAAGGUGCCGCAGGGAAAAAUAAAAUUCACAUCGUUCCGGCCAAGAAUCCUCGUCAAAAAAAGAACAAAGUGUUAACCGACAUUACUGACAUGUACGCUGUUGGCUUGAGGUUGACUAAAUGAGAAAGGAAAAGAAAAUCCUCGUGAUCCGCACUCGUUAUUCGUUGGCUCUGUCUACUGUUGAUUCAUCGAAGUCUAUAUUUGAAACGUACCUGUACAUGGCCAAUAAAGAACUACGCUAUCCAUCGGUAACUUGGUGAAGUAUUUCAUUUCCUCGAUAGUUUAUGAACAAUUUAAAAGGGUAAUUAUUACUAACUACUGGCAGACUUCUAUCUUAACACUUCACCAAUCGGCAACCCUAUUAUCGAGGUAACGUUUAACCUUUUGCGCUCGAGGCAUUUUUCUAUAGAAUCAAAUCGAGUCCAUUUUUAUAAUAAAUUUCUGUAAAACCAAAAACUCUGCUUCGAAAAGAUACAUCUAAAAACAUUCACGACUCAAUCUAUAUUAUUUCAAUUAAUAAUUAGCUGUAUUUUGGUAUAACUAAAAUUGAAAUUGUAUGGUCAAAAAUCACUUUUAUAUUACAUAUGUCGCCCUAGAGGCGCACUCGAGCGCAAAGGGUUAAAGCUCCCAUUAUUAUAUGAAUUAUGAAAUACUAUAUAAACAUUAAUCAAAAAACUGUUUUAAUACAAAAGAUACAGAUUUAAUAAUGCUAAUGUUGUCAAAAGAAAAAGAUAUUAUUUAAUUUAAUUUUAUGUCCAAUCGCUAGCGAAUGGUAAAGUGUUAACAAUAGUGUCGAAAUAAUGUUAAUAAUACAUUCAAUUUUUUCUCCUUGAUACUUGAGACAAUAACAAAUUGUAAUGGUAGUAUAAUGGAUUUGUUUUAUUUAUCAGACAUGUCAUCAUCAAUCGACCAUUGUUUUGUCUCUGGUUGCUCAUUACUUGCCAAUAUUAUAGUACAUCUUUAAUACAUUUUAGAUAAUUUAGGGAAUUCAUGAGAUCUAAUACUUACAUCAGGAUAUAGUAUAUCGAUUUCAAGAAAGCAGUUCUGUUAACGAUUUAAAUAUUUUGGAGAAAUUGAUUUUGAUUAAUUUAGUGGUAAUAUUCCCUCGUGACUUUCUGGCUAUCUUAGAAGCAAAUCACUAACUGUUAAGGAUUAGAACAUAUGUUCUAAUGCUAGUAAUUUAUUCUAAUUAAAUGCCACGUGUGGGAUUCGAUUCUCACGACUGGACAUAGAGUAAACCCAUAACUAAUUCGACAUUACUAUUUCCAAAUAAUUCACUAUUUCGGUUAAUGCUCGUAUCAAUGACGAUUGAAAGUAUGUUACAAAUUAUUAUUUCACACCUGUAAAAAAAUUAACGCACUACAUACUGUACCCUUUUAAACCAUGGAACUACUGUAUACAACUUUUUUUCGUGCAACGCAUAUUUUGGAAGUUAUAAAGGUGCACACAUUGCGUGGACCACCCUGUAUAUUAUCUCCACUUAUUUGUAACAAUGAUGAAAUGAGCACCGUAUAUAAACUAUCGAAACAAAGUCCAGUCGAUUCCUACCUAAGAUCAUGUUUCGGCACGUUUAAAUUUACCAUCAUCGAUGGCAAUCUGCACGGAAAAAGCAAAAUCAUACCAGUGACUAUCGGGCAAAUGGAGACCCUCCAUUCUCCAGAAACUCUUCUUCGGAUUUGAUGUUAGAUUACGAAAAAAUACAAAAUUACACGUUAUUUCUGUCCAUACUUAUCACGUGGAAUGGCUUGCGUCGACUCUUAUCCGAACUCUGGAGAGCCUGCAUACGCCGCGAAAUCUCUGAUCGGUGACACGGACACUGUCAACAUUCCCACCAAAAAGGAUAGCAUUCAGUGCACGUUCUUUCGACAGCCCAAGAGUAUAUUCGCGAUAAAAAAUGCCGCCUGGCAGCUUUCCUACAGCAAUCCAAUGUCGUCCAGCUUUUCCGACAUUGGUACCGAUUCGGACAGUGAGCUCGAUGAAACUGUGCCCUCUGCGCGAUGGUUAGAAAAAUCGAGACAUUUCAGCGAAGACGUUGUCAGCGAUGAUACUCCAAAGCUUGAAACGGAGUAUCACAAGUAUCUAAACACGCCAAGGAUAACAUUCGAUCCAAUGGUACGCGUCGAUUCGGACAUAGUGAUUAGAUCCUAUCCGAGGAAACGAUCAAUGAAAGAGGAAAACGAAGCAGUGUCCGUGAAACUUCCGCGAGUAUCGAAAAAGUGGAACGAACCGUGGGAGAAAGACAAUUCGGCCAGCAAGGAGAACCACGAGGAAUUCGAUGAAAAUCGAGUUCCCAAUCACUGCGACAAUCAAACGACCUUCCAAAAUGAAACGUUCCUGGAAAAUUAUACGAAUAAUGACAAGCUUAUGCGUGCUCUUUCAGGUAAAACUUUGCGAACCAACGACUCAGGAAAUACAGAUCUUUUUUACUUCUAUUUUGAUAUUUGGAUAUGCAAUGAAUUACAUUUUUAGCACGCGUAGGGAUUAACGGGGAUACGAAGGACAACAGAAAUUACAAAAGACUUUUCUAUGAUUUUUAUUUAAAAAAUGUAGUUUAUCGAAUUACUAGAUAAAAAGAAUAUGGAAAUAUUCGAUCACCAAUAAAACGAUAUUGCACGGUAAAAUAAUGUAACAAAAAGGUGUAAUGUUGAAGAUUAUUUAAAGAUGGGAAUAAAAUCAAUGGCAAAGAGAUUUAAAAAAAUGAUAAAACAAAGAGGUUACUUAAACAUUGACAUUACCAAAAUUAUUAACUUUUAUUACGUGUGAGAAUAAUUUCGUAACCUAAAUAAUCCAUAAAAUUAAUUCGUUUCGUUUCUUCAUUGUUAUAAAUAAUAUAGUUAUUUUUUUUUAAACAGUUUUGUAAGUUUAUAAACCAAAUAUUAUAUUUCUUGAAUAAAAAGUAUAGAAAAAUCUUUUACUAUUAUUUUUAUCUUUCAUACACCUGUUACUCUCUGUGUGUACUCUUCAGAGGAUAACAAUUAAUACUGCGUCUGUAAAUAUUUGUUAAAUGUAAUACUAGUAUUACAAGUCAUAAGGCCAAAAGUAAUGAUAUAAAGUUGCGCAUAAAAGGAGGUAUAAAUUGUUUAGAAUACAGAGUCGAUGCUAGGAUUUAAUGUAAAAAAAGAAAACAAUAUAGACUGUUACAAAAUUAGUUAUUAAUAUAAAUUUAUAUCCCAAAUAAUAUUUAUUUCAAAGGUAUAACAGACAGCAGAUGUUUAAGAUAUUUACCGUACCUAAUAUUAAAAAUUAAAAAAACGUAAAAGGUUUGUAUUAUUUAUAAUUUUUUUGAACUUCAAAA